UGCAGAGUAGUUAGCCUAACCGCAAGGGGGGCGAUUACCACGGCAGGGUUCAUGACUGGGGUGAAGUCGUAACAAGGUAGCCGUAUCGGAAGGUGCGGCUGGAUCACCUCCUUUA
RNAcentral lists this ribosomal RNA (115 nucleotides) under Ralstonia insidiosa. RNAcentral describes it as "16S ribosomal RNA". It matches the Rfam family "Bacterial small subunit ribosomal RNA", at positions 1418 to 1533 of the family's 1533-position model. The record is from RNAcentral. Lineage: Bacteria; Pseudomonadati; Pseudomonadota; Betaproteobacteria; Burkholderiales; Burkholderiaceae.